GACGGAGGAUGCAAGCGUUAUCCGGAAUGAUUGGGCGUAAAGCGUCCGCAGGUGGCAGUUCAAGUCUGCUGUCAAAGACCGGGGCUUAACUUCGGAAAGGCAGUGGAAACUGAACAGCUAGAGUAUGGUAGGGGCAGAGGGAAUUCCUGGUGUAGCGGUGAAAUGCGUAGAGAUCAGGAAGAACACCGGUGGCGAAGGCGCUCUGCUAGGCCGUAACUGACACUGAGGGACGAAAGCUAGGGGAGCGAAUGGG
This 253-nucleotide ribosomal RNA is filed under the name uncultured bacterium. Its description in RNAcentral is "partial 16S ribosomal RNA". It matches the Rfam family "Bacterial small subunit ribosomal RNA", at positions 524 to 776 of the family's 1533-position model. The record is from RNAcentral.